GUCCAGAAGGCCCAGCGGUCUAAGGCGCUGGUUUAAGGCACCAGUAUCUCCCGAGGCGUGGGUCCGAAUCCCACUCUCGUCA
Molecule: transfer RNA, 82 nt
Filed under: Toxocara canis (dog roundworm)
Lineage: Eukaryota; Metazoa; Nematoda; Chromadorea; Rhabditida; Toxocaridae
Rfam family: tRNA
About the family: Transfer RNA (tRNA) molecules are approximately 80 nucleotides in length. Their secondary structure includes four short double-helical elements and three loops (D, anti-codon, and T loops).
Source: Rfam by way of RNAcentral